GCACAAGCGGUGGAGCAUGUGGCUUAAUUCGAUGCAACGCGAAGAACCUUACCUGGGCUUGACAUGCAAGGAAAUCUCCCAGAGAUGGGAGGUCCGUAAGGGCCUUGCACAGGUGGUGCAUGGCUGUCGUCAGCUCGUGUCGUGAGAUGUUGGGUUAAGUCCCGCAACGAGCGCAACCCUCGUCCUAUGUUGCCAGCGAGUAAUGUCGGGGACUCAUAGGAGACUGCCGGGGUCAACUCGGAGGAAGGUGGGGAUGACGUCAAGUCAUCAUGCCCCUUAUGUCCAGGGCUGCACACAUGCUACAAUGGCCGGUACAAAGGGCUGCGAUACCGCAAGGUGGAGCGAAUCCCAGAAAGCCGGUCUCAGUUCGGAUUGGGGUCUGCAACUCGACCCCAUGAAGUCGGAGUUGCUAGUAAUCGCAGAUCAGCAACGCUGCGGUGAAUACGUUCCCGGGC
RNAcentral lists this ribosomal RNA (455 nucleotides) under uncultured bacterium. RNAcentral's name for it is "bacterial SSU rRNA". It matches the Rfam family "Bacterial small subunit ribosomal RNA", at positions 923 to 1379 of the family's 1533-position model. The record is from RNAcentral.